This 253-nucleotide ribosomal RNA is filed under the name uncultured bacterium. RNAcentral's name for it is "partial 16S ribosomal RNA". It matches the Rfam family "Bacterial small subunit ribosomal RNA", at positions 524 to 776 of the family's 1533-position model. The record is from RNAcentral.
UACGGAGGGGGCUAGCGUUGUUCGGAAUUACUGGGCGUAAAGCGCGCGUAGGCGGACUGUUAAGUCGGGGGUGAAAUCCCGGGGCUCAACCCCGGAACUGCCUUCGAUACUGGCGGUCUAGAGGUCUGGAGAGGUGAGUGGAAUUCCGAGUGUAGAGGUGAAAUUCGUAGAUAUUCGGAGGAAUACCAGUGGCGAAGGCGGUUCACUGGCCAGAUUCUGCCGCUGAGGUGCGAAAGCGUGGGGAGCAAACAGG